AGCGAACGCUGGCGGCAGGCCUAACACAUGCAAGUCGAACGAACCUUUCGGGGUUAGUGGCGGACGGGUGAGUAACACGUGGGAACGUGCCUUUAGGUUCGGAAUAACUCAGGGAAACUUGUGCUAAUACCGAAUGUGCCCUUCGGGGGAAAGAUUUAUCGCCUUUAGAGCGGCCCGCGUCUGAUUAGCUAGUUGGUUGAGGUAAUGGCUCACCAAGGCGACGAUCAGUAGCUGGUCUGAGAGGAUGAUCAGCCACAUUGGGACUGAGACACGGCCCAAACUCCUACGGGAGGCAGCAGUGGGGAAUCUUGCGCAAUGGGCGAAAGCCUGACGCAGCCAUGACGCGUGAAUGAUGAAGGUAUUAGGAUUGUAAAAUUCUUUCACCGGGGACGAUAAUGACGGUACCCGGAGAAGAAGCCCCGGCUAACUUCGUG
RNAcentral lists this ribosomal RNA (434 nucleotides) under uncultured bacterium. RNAcentral's name for it is "partial 16S ribosomal RNA". It matches the Rfam family "Bacterial small subunit ribosomal RNA", at positions 29 to 507 of the family's 1533-position model. The record is from RNAcentral.